GACGAACGCUGGCGGCGUGCUUAACACAUGCAAGUCGAACGGAAAGGCCCUGCUUUUGUGGGGUGCUCGAGUUGCGAACGGGUGAGUAACACGUGAGUAACCUGCCCUUUACUUUGGGAUAACUUCAGGAAACUGUGGCUAAUACCGGAUAGGAGCUCCUGCUGCAUGGUGGGGGUUGGAAAGUUUCGGCGGUUGGGGAUGGACUUGCGGCUUAUCAGCUUGUUGGUGGGGUAGUGGCUUACCAAGGCUUGGACGGGUAGCCGGCCUGAGAGGGUGACCGGCCACAUUGGGACUGAGAUACGGCCCAGACUCCUACGGGAGGCAGCAGUGGGGAAUAUUGCACAAUGGGCGGAAGCCUGAUGCAGCAACGCCGCGUGCUGGAUGACGGCCUUAAGGUUGUAAACCGCUUUCGCCUGUGACGAAGCGUGAGUGACGGUAAUGGGUAAAGAAGCACCGGCUAACUACGUG
RNAcentral lists this ribosomal RNA (468 nucleotides) under uncultured bacterium. RNAcentral describes it as "partial 16S ribosomal RNA". It matches the Rfam family "Bacterial small subunit ribosomal RNA", at positions 28 to 507 of the family's 1533-position model. The record is from RNAcentral.